Non-coding RNA from Mustela erminea (ermine), 685 nucleotides. Lineage: Eukaryota; Metazoa; Chordata; Mammalia; Carnivora; Mustelidae. The record is from the annotation of a RefSeq genome assembly.
AGUACAUUCUAUCAGCAAUAUGGUGCUGCUACCACAAGAUGGCAGUGUCACUCCCCAGACUCAAUAGGUUUGAAAUCAGUUUGUGUGUAUUGAAAACGAUUGGGUUGGCUUCUGAUGGGCCAGGUAAGACUCCAGCAUCCAGACAGAACAGAUAAAUAUACGCCAUAGAAACAGUCAAUGUUUUCGAUUGAGUAUCCUGGCCACAUUUCAGUCCAUAGAGCCGAGUCUGCUGUGAUCCCAAUAAGGAAGAAGAAUGGAGAAACUCCUGGAAGUGUCUUUGCUGAUACUAUGGCUUCAACUGCCCAGGGUGAACAGCCAACAGGAACAGCAUCAUCAGGUCCUGAACUUCCAGGAGGGUGAAAAUGCCACCAUGAACUGCAGUUAUAAAACUUCGAUAAGCAACUUACAGUGGUAUAGACAAGACUCGGGUCAAGGCUUUGUCCAGCUGAUUUUAAUACGUUCAAAUGAAAGAGAGAAAUACAGUGGAAGGCUACGGGUCACCCUGGACAACUCCAUCAAAAGCAGUUCUUUGUCCAUCAUUGCUUCCCAGACUGCAGACUCUGCUACUUACAUCUGUACCACAGGACACAGUGUUCACCAAGUACUUGCAGCCUCUGCACAAACUCUGCCCAAGCUGCCCCUUUGAAGCCCCACAGUGGGUAGCAUUCGUGGUUAAGUCUUCACA